This 458-nucleotide ribosomal RNA is filed under the name uncultured bacterium. RNAcentral describes it as "partial 16S ribosomal RNA". It matches the Rfam family "Bacterial small subunit ribosomal RNA", at positions 338 to 795 of the family's 1533-position model. The record is from RNAcentral.
CCUACGGGUGGCAGCAGUGGGGAAUAUUGCACAAUGGGGGAAACCCUGAUGCAGCGACGCCGCGUGAGUGAAGAAGCGUUUCGGCGCGUAAAGCUCUGUCAGCGGGGAAGAAACACGGUUCGCGAGAGCCGCGGACGGUACCCGACCAAGAAGCACCGGCUAACGACGUGCCAGCAGCCGCGGUAAUACGUAGGGGGCAAGCGUUAUCCGGAUGUACUGGGUGUAAAGGGAGCGUAGACGGCAGCGCAAGUCUGGAGUGAAAACCCAUGGCUUAACCAUGGAACUGCUUUGGAAACUGUGCAGCUGGAGUGCAGGAGAGGUAAGCGGAAUUCCUAGUGUAGCGGUGAAAUGAGUAGAUAUUAGGAGGAACACCAGUGGCGAAGGCGGCUUACUGGACUGUAACUGACGUUGAGGCUCGAAAGCGUGGGGAGCAAACAGGAUUAGAUACCCGUGUAGUC